Molecule: non-coding RNA, 46 nt
Organism: Xiphophorus maculatus (southern platyfish)
Lineage: Eukaryota; Metazoa; Chordata; Actinopteri; Cyprinodontiformes; Poeciliidae
Source: Rfam
CCAACGGCCCUUUUAAGGGCCACUAGAUGGUUUAAACAAACACGCA